GCUUGAUGAUGAUGUCUACAGGACUGAGCAAAUUGUAGUUGGUCCUUCAUUUGCAUGGUUGAUGUAAUCCUGUUUCAAGACGGGGCUGAGAGCAGC
Small nucleolar RNA from Conger conger (European conger), 96 nucleotides. RefSeq annotates it as small nucleolar RNA SNORD21. NCBI's taxonomy places the organism in Eukaryota, Metazoa, Chordata, Actinopteri, Anguilliformes, Congridae. The record is from RefSeq and is a predicted model, not a curated record. The transcript has a single exon.